GAUGAACGCUGGCGGCGUGCCUAAUACAUGCAAGUCGAGCGAACGGACGAGGAGCUUGCUCCUCUGACGUUAGCGGCGGACGGGUGAGUAACACGUGGAUAACCUACCUAUAAGACUGGGAUAACUUCGGGAAACCGGAGCUAAUACCGGAUAAUAUAUUGAACCGCAUGGUUCAAUAGUGAAAGACGGUUUUGCUGUCACUUAUAGAUGGAUCCGCGCCGCAUUAGCUAGUUGGUAAGGUAACGGCUUACCAAGGCAACGAUGCGUAGCCGACCUGAGAGGGUGAUCGGCCACACUGGAACUGAGACACGGUCCAGACUCCUACGGGAGGCAGCAGUAGGGAAUCUUCCGCAAAGGGCGAAAGCUUGACGGAGCAACGCCGCGUGAGUGAUGAAGGUCUUCGGAUCGUAAAACUCUGUUAUUAGGGAAGAACAAAUGUGUAAGUAACUAUGCACGUCUUGACGGUACCUAAUCAGAAAGCCACGGCUAACUACGUG
This 497-nucleotide ribosomal RNA is filed under the name uncultured bacterium. Its description in RNAcentral is "partial 16S ribosomal RNA". It matches the Rfam family "Bacterial small subunit ribosomal RNA", at positions 28 to 507 of the family's 1533-position model. The record is from RNAcentral.